GUGCUUGCUUCAGCAGCACAUAUACUAAAAUUGGAAUGAUACAGAGAAGAUUAGCAUGACCCUAUGCAAGGAUGGUGCACAAAUUCAUGAAGUGUUCCAUAUUAAA
Small nuclear RNA from Nycticebus coucang (slow loris), 106 nucleotides. The record is from RefSeq and is a predicted model, not a curated record. Lineage: Eukaryota; Metazoa; Chordata; Mammalia; Primates; Lorisidae.